CCCGCGUUUUUCUCUCUCUCUCCUCGUCGCUCUGCAACUUCGGCCACUUUCCUUUUCCGGCCACCUGGCCGUGCACGGAGGGUACCGGCGGACUCGUCUCCGCUCCCUCUAGGCGCCUGUGGUGGUGUUUUGCGGUGGCUCGGCCCGAGGAGCUUGGAUUUGAGCCGUGAAGUUCACUGUAGCAAUUUGGAGUUUCGUCGAUUUCCGGCGAUUCCGGCCGUCUCCGGCCACCAAACCGGCGUCGAAGGUUCGGUUUUUGCCAAGGAUCAUUUUCCCCCUAACCUUGAGCCAUGAUUUGCAGUGUAGAGGAAGAAUCGACGAUUGGAAGAUUACGGUCACUAUUCACAAUUUGAGUUCAAGCUUCUCCUUAAUUGUUGAGGGCAAUGUUGCGAGCUACGGCUAGAUGAAGGGACUCGUUUGCGUGGUCGCCAACUAGUACUUUUGCAGGAGUUAUUAGUUGAGGUCGGGCGUACAUGGAUCGAGGCAUAGUUGACGAAUAGCUUCCGCACUUCUUUGUUUGGCUCUGAUCUAUUGUGGGUUACUAUUUUGGGUGUCCACUUUAGGGGUGACUCGACCAGUUCUCGGUAGAGUUAUCUCUAAGGUGGGCCCCGCAGGGCCACCUCGGAUUUCAGGGUGAAAUUCGGGGCGAGUCCUGUCAAGCAGAAGGCUGAGAGACAAAUGGAAGAACAACUUGGAGCUGAUCAGAAGAGAGGACAGGCAUCAUAUGUGGGGAAAGAUGGGAAGAACUAACAGGGACAGAGGACACAGGAAAAGAACAAGAGGAAGAAUGGGAUGGUGAGGCAGGAGAAGGAGAAGGAAGUACACUAGAAGAGUGAAAUGGAAACACUGACUCACAUGAAUAACAUGUCUACACAUCCAAAGCUUGUUUUUGUCAAUGCUGUAGCAGAAAACACCCUUGUAUCCCAAGGCAUAUCCCAAAAAUACACAUCUAGUUGUCCGAGAAUCAAGCUUGUCAUUGCAGUAUGGUCUAAGAAAAGGAUAACAUGCAGAACCAAAAAUCCUGAGAUGACCAAGAUCAGGUGCAGAACCAAAGAGUUGGAUAUAUGGAGAGGACAUAUGCAAAGAGACACAGGGCAUUCUAUUAAUGAGAAAUGCAGAAUGAGCAACAGCAUGAAACCAGAAUUGUUUAGGCAGGUGAGCUGCAGACAUAAGAGUAAUACAAGUCUCAACAAUGUGUCGAUUCUUUCUUUCUGCUACCCCAUUUUGUUGGGGGGUAUGAGGACAAGUGAUAAA
Molecule: long non-coding RNA, 1254 nt
Organism: Rosa rugosa (rugosa rose)
Lineage: Eukaryota; Viridiplantae; Streptophyta; Magnoliopsida; Rosales; Rosaceae
Exons: 3
Source: RefSeq, a predicted model, not a curated record